CUAAGGUAGCGAAAUUCCUUGUCAGGUAAGUUCUGACCCGCACGAAAGGCGUAACGAUUUGGGCGCUGUCUCAGCUGUAGACUCGGUGAAGUCUUAGUACCUGUGAAGAUGCAGGUUACCCGCGACUAGACGGAAAGACCCCAUGGAGCUUCACUGCAGGUUGAUAUUGGGAUUUGAUGCAGCAUGUACAGGAUAGGUAGGAGGCAAAGAGAUGGAUACGCCAGUAUUCAAGGAGCCGCUGUUGGGAUACUACCCCUGUUGUAUUGGAUUUCUAACCGGACGACGUAGAACCGUUGACGGGACAGUGUCAGUCGGGCAGUUUGACUGGGGCGGUCGCCUCCCAAAGAGUAACGGAGGCGCCCAAAGAUACCCUCAGCUUGGAUGGAAACCAAGCGCAGAGUGCAAAGGCAAAAGGGUGUUUGACUGCGAGACCCACAAGUCGAGCAGGGACGAAAGUCGGGCUUAGUGAUCCGGCGGUGCUGAAUGGAAAGGCCGUCGCUCAACGGAUAAAAGCUACCCUGGGGAUAACAGGCUGAUCUCCCCCAAGAGUCCACAUCGACGGGGAGGUUUGGCACCUCGAUGUCGGCUCAUCGCAUCCUGGGGCUGUAUUCGGUCCCAAGGGUUUGGCUGUUCGCCAAUUAAAGCGGUACGCGAGCUGGGUUCAGAACGUCGUGAGACAGUUCGGUCCCUAUCUGUCGUGGGCGCAGGAAAUUUGAGAAGAGCUGUCCUCAGUACGAGAGGACCGGGAUGGACGCAUCAAUGGUGGACCAGUUGUCACGCCAGUGGCAUAGCUGGGUAGCUAAAUGCGGAAGGGAUAAACGCUGAAGGCAUCUAAGUGUGAAACCCACUUCAAGAUGAGAUUUCCCAUUGCGCAAGCAAGUAAGACCCCUUAAAGACGAUAAGGUAGAUAGGUCAGGAGUGUAAGCAUGGUGACAUGUUAAGCGGACUGAUACUAAUAGGUCGAGGGCUUGACCGA
Molecule: ribosomal RNA, 976 nt
Filed under: human gut metagenome
Description: bacterial LSU rRNA
Rfam family: Bacterial large subunit ribosomal RNA
Source: RNAcentral